CUUCCUUUUUUACUUUUCACAGUAUUUCCUAUUGUUGUUCCACAAGAGCCUGAGAUUUCUCCUUCUCCUCGUCUGCUGUGGAAAAUUGUUGUUGUUUCACUGAUGGCUCUGCUGUUGGUGUUGGGAUCAUGGUACUGUGUCAAAAGUUACAGGCACAGAGCUCCCUGCCUGUCCACAGUCACACCUGCAUCAGUCCCAGCUGAGAAUCAAACAGGUUGGAAGACAAAUCAUUUGUUAGUAUCCAACUGUAGGCGUCUUAUAUAAAGCUGCUGUUUACACGUAAAUAUGUAGAAAUGUAGUCACCUUGCUUUGUUUAAUAUGCUCUGAUUUAGAAAAUGCUCUUUAAUGUUAAAAAACAUCUUGUUAUAAACUGCAUGUUGUUAAGCAGACGUCAGUGUAAUUGUCUUUGAUUUGGGCUCUGCUGCUGUUUGGGUUUUUUUUAGCCCCUGUAACAUCGAGUGCACCUGACACAGGAAGAGCAACAUAUUCUGCUGUGACAAAAAUCAGGAAGGAAAAAGGUACAUCAUCUGACGUUACUUGGUGUUUCUGGAGUACAUCUAUAAUGUGACAUGAACACUGACACUAACAGCAGCUAAAAAUACAACCACAAGAACAAAGUGGUACAUGAACGUACAUUAGGUACUUCUGGUGUCGUGUCAGUCUUCGUUGGUUGCUUCUGAUAAAUGUGUAGAUGCUGAUGAUAAUUUGAGCUUCCUGGAAUCCAUCAACAGAGGAAAACCACAAAGAAAACCGGUCUAAAGUACAUGCAGAGUGGAGGUCACGAACUGGUUUUAUACACCAUAGAAAGUCGCUGGUGUUUAAUGAAACUUAUGAUAUAAACUCAGUUUAAAGUUAAAAUCUCUGUUUGAUUGUUUUGUCUUUAAAAGGAACAUAAAUUAAUGAGGUCAAUAGGCUCAGGUGGAUUUAUUAUCUUUUUGAUAAGAAAUAAAGAUGUGAGAGCAAACGCCUGAGGGUUUGACCAUCACUUGUUCAGCAGAAUUCACCUGCAUAUUUCAGACCAGAUGUUGUUCAGACAGAAACACAAAGUAUCAACACAGUUCAACCACUGGGAUCAUCUGGUGCUUAAACCAAACAUUCAUCCAAAGUAGAAAACCUGUAACUGUACUUGGGUUAACUGAGACGUAAAAAUGAGCAUCAUCUGCAUAAUAAUGAUAAAACUAGAACUAAUUAGAAAAAGUAUAGAUGAAAUAAAACAAUUUUGUGUUGUUACCAUGAAGUUGUGAAUUAGUAAAAACUCCAAAAAGUUUGUGCAAGAUAAAACUAAAAUGAGAGAAAAAGAGAACAAAUAAAUAUUGAUAUGAUAUUCAGUCAGCUAACGUUGCCUUUCUCCAUCAGAUGCGGAUGAGUUUUAUUCCAGACCAGUUUACUACUCGUUAAGCAUGGGUGAUGCUCAGGCACUGGGUGAGACUGUGAUUAAAGAAACUUUUCAGAAAGACCAGAAAUUGGACAAUACAAUGAGUUAAACAAAGGUCAAAGGAAAGACUAUUUUGACAAAAUACAGAUCUUUUUUUUUUUUUUUUUUUUUUUUUUCCAAACAGAACUUGGAGCAUCCAGUAUCAUGGACAGGUCUGGUCCCUCAGCAGGUACUCGGACCUCUUUAACAGAAGAUGCCUGCUACUCUACAAUCCAGUAGGUAGGUGGGAUGGAUGCCUGCAGCGAUUCAGGCCACUGGACACAUCAGUAUGUUUGCUUGAUUACAAAGUUGGUUUGGUGACGAUGUGAGUUUGGGUUUAAUCGUAUUGUGCUGUAUGUUCAGUUUGACAAAAAGCAGCCAUGUUGGUUUGGUUCUCAGGCCAAGCAGCUUUCAGAUUUGCUGAAUUGUAAAUGCAACUCAGAAAUGAAACGUGAUGCUAUUUACAAGUUCUAAACUCAUUUUUACAAUAACUCAGUAGGACUUGAAUGCAGCAUUAGUUAUUGAUUUAUUCCUAACUUCAUGUUGCUUGAAUGAAGAAGAAAAUUCAUCUUUCAUGUUAAAAAUGUAAGAUUAUAUGUAAGUUCAUGUGAAAUAAUUUAUAUGGUAGAAUUUGAUAAAUCAAUCAAACAAGUCUGGAUUCAAGUAUUUACAGGCCAUUUGUGACUUUCUGUAUUGCAUGAAGGAGCUUUGACUGUAAUGUAUGACCUGUACACCCUGUGAGUAUUAGAGCUUAUUAAUGGAGCAGGCUGAUCUUAAGAAGAUUCACACUCUGCCUAAAUUACCAAGUCAAAUGUAAAGCCUGUAAAAACAUGUGUACAGAUGUGUACAAAUCAUGUAUAAAUGAUGCAAAACAAUAAUGGAAGGAUGAAGCAAACUUCAUAUGAGUGGUGUUAAGUUAUUACUUUAGAUUUCACUGUCUAUAUUUAACAAACUGAAACUACGUCAAACAUCUGAAGCUCUGUGAAAUGGGCUCAUCUGAAGGCUGUGGCUAAUUCACACAGCUUUCAGUUUCUAACAGUAAAACCAACUUGUCCUAUUUGCUUCUUCUGCCCACAUGCAUGAGAACAUAUUUCACAAGCUCCAUGCUGCUCGCUGUGGUCUCCCUCUGCACACUUUCUGUUUUUGUUUGACUUCGUGGUCAGAAACACAGUU
Long non-coding RNA from Mastacembelus armatus (zig-zag eel), 2587 nucleotides. Lineage: Eukaryota; Metazoa; Chordata; Actinopteri; Synbranchiformes; Mastacembelidae. The record is from Ensembl.